RNAcentral lists this small nuclear RNA (107 nucleotides) under Delphinapterus leucas (beluga whale). Lineage: Eukaryota; Metazoa; Chordata; Mammalia; Artiodactyla; Monodontidae. The record is from RNAcentral.
GUGCUCACUUCGGCAGCACAUAUACUAAAAUUGGAAAGAUACAGAGAAGAUUAGCGUGGCCCCUGCGCAAGAAUGACACGCAAAUUCGUGAAGCAUUCCAUAUUUUU